GAGUAACACGUGGGUAACCUGCCCAUAAGACUGGGAUAACUCCGGGAAACCGGGGCUAAUACCGGAUAAUAUUUUGAACUGCAUGGUUCGAAAUUGAAAGGCGGCUUCGGCUGUCACUUAUGGAUGGACCCGCGUCGCAUUAGCUAGUUGGUGAGGUAACGGCUCACCAAGGCAACGAUGCGUAGCCGACCUGAGAGGGUGAUCGGCCACACUGGGACUGAGACACGGCCCAGACUCCUACGGGAGGCAGCAGUAGGGAAUCUUCCGCAAUGGACGAAAGUCUGACGGAGCAACGCCGCGUGAGUGAUGAAGGCUUUCGGGUCGUAAAACUCUGUUGUUAGGGAAGAACAAGUGCUAGUUGAAUAAGCUGGCACCUUGACGGUACCUAACCAGAAAGCCACGGCUAACUACGUGCCAGCAGCCGCGGUAAUACGUAGGUGGCAAGCGUUAUCCGGAAUUAUUGGGCGUAAAGCGCGCGCAGGUGGUUUCUUAAGUCUGAUGUGAAAGCCCACGGCUCAACCGU
This 523-nucleotide ribosomal RNA is filed under the name Bacillus paranthracis. RNAcentral's name for it is "bacterial SSU rRNA". It matches the Rfam family "Bacterial small subunit ribosomal RNA", at positions 108 to 616 of the family's 1533-position model. Lineage: Bacteria; Bacillati; Bacillota; Bacilli; Caryophanales; Bacillaceae. The record is from RNAcentral.